Molecule: ribosomal RNA, 406 nt
Filed under: uncultured bacterium
Lineage: Bacteria
Description: partial 16S ribosomal RNA
Rfam family: Bacterial small subunit ribosomal RNA
Source: RNAcentral
AUUGAACGCUGGCGGCAGGCCUAACACAUGCAAGUCGAGCGAGCGGCGGACGGGUGAGUAAUGUAUGGGGAUCUGCCCGAUAGAGGGGGAUAACUACUGGCAACGGUGGCUAAUACCGACUACUAUAGGAUGACCCCCUAUGGGAUUGGCUAGUAGGUGGGGUAAAGGAUCACCUAGGCGACGAGCUCUAGAUGGUCUGAGAGGAUGACCAGCCACACGGGGACUGAGACACGGUCCAGACUCCUACGGUAGGCAUCAGUGGGGAAUAUUGCACAAUGGGAGCAAGCCUGAUGCAGCCAUGCCGCGUGUAUGAAGAAGGCCUUAGGGUUGUAAAGUACUUUCAGCGGGGAGGCGUUACCCGCAGAAGAAGCACCGGCUAACUCCGUGCCAGCAGCCGCGGGAAGUC